CGUGAAGCCCCCCUCAAGAUAAGAUAUCCCAUUCGUAAGAAGUAAGACCCCUUGCAGACGACGAGGUUGAUAGGCUUCGGGUGGAAGUGUGGCAACACAUGGAGCUGAGAAGUACUAAUAGGUCGAGGGCUUGACCAG
This 138-nucleotide ribosomal RNA is filed under the name Lachnospiraceae bacterium. RNAcentral describes it as "partial 23S ribosomal RNA". It matches the Rfam family "Bacterial large subunit ribosomal RNA", at positions 2786 to 2925 of the family's 2925-position model. Lineage: Bacteria; Bacillati; Bacillota; Clostridia; Lachnospirales; Lachnospiraceae. The record is from RNAcentral.